RNAcentral lists this transfer RNA (84 nucleotides) under Virgisporangium ochraceum. Its description in RNAcentral is "tRNA-Thr". The record is from RNAcentral. Lineage: Bacteria; Bacillati; Actinomycetota; Actinomycetes; Micromonosporales; Micromonosporaceae.
UGACCGGGGUGGGCUGCGGGUCGUGCCCGGCCCGGUCGUGCCGCGCGCGGUCUGGCCCGGCCGGGUCGUGCCCGGCCCGGUCGG